Molecule: ribosomal RNA, 525 nt
Filed under: uncultured bacterium
Lineage: Bacteria
Description: bacterial SSU rRNA
Rfam family: Bacterial small subunit ribosomal RNA
Source: RNAcentral
ACGUAAUAGAUACCCCGGUAGUCCACGCCCUAAACGAUGUCUACUAGUUGUUGGUGGAGUAAAAUCCAUGAGUAAACGCAGCUAAACGCGUGAAGUAGACCGCCUGGGGAGUACGGUCGCAAGAUUAAAACUCAAAUGAAUUGACGGGGGCCCGCACAAGCGGUGGAUUAUGUGGAUUAAAUUCGAUGCAACGCGAAAAACCUUACCUGGCCUUGACAUGUAACGAACUUUCCAGAGAUGGAUUGGUGCUCGAAAGAGAACGUUAACACAGGUGCUGCAUGGCUGUCGUCAGCUCGUGUCGUGAGAUGUUGGGUUAAGUCCCGCAACGAGCGCAACCCUUGCCAUUAAUUGCCAUCAUUUAGUUGGGCACUUUAAUGGGACUGCCGGUGACAAACCGGAGGAAGUGGGGAUGACGUCAAGUCCUCAUGGCCCUUAUGGCCAGGGCUUCACACGUAAUACAAUGGUCGGUACAGAGGGUUGCCAACCCGGCAGGGGUAGCCAAUCCCAGAAAGCCGAUCGUAGUCC